RNAcentral lists this long non-coding RNA (7631 nucleotides) under Marmota monax (woodchuck). The record is from RNAcentral. Lineage: Eukaryota; Metazoa; Chordata; Mammalia; Rodentia; Sciuridae.
GCCCUUCUUUGGUUUUUGAGACAGGGCCUCCCUAAGUCACCCAGGCUGGCCUUGAACCUUGGUCCUCCUGCCUCAGCCUGCAGAGUGGCUGCGGUGACCCGGGUGGGCCCGGCGCCCACUGGGUUCAGUUUUCCUACUUGUGAAGUGAAGUUUGUGCCACCUGAACACUGACGGCAUUCCAUGAGGCUUGGCGCCAGGCUGCGGUAUGAACCCGACCUGCAUUCUCUCUGUUAACCCGUGGGAGUGUUAUCUUGGUGUCUCGUCCACUGUAACGGAUUUAUCCCCACUUUACAGAUGAGGAAGUGGGGCCCAGACUGGGUGGACAACUUGCCCAGGACGGCACAGCUGCAGACCCAGGCGGAGCGAGGGACAGACUGGUUUCAAGCACGAAGCCUCCUCUCCCCCGCCGUCUCGUGACGGCCCACGACUCUGAGCUUGCUCAGACGGCUCCACCGAGGCCACUCUAGAGACUCCUCCCUGGAAAGUACCACGUCAUGUCGAAGCUCAGUCACCUGGUCACCCCCCUCAGGCCCUGGGAGUGGGGACUGUCCAAGGCCAGAGAACAGGAGGGCCUCCUGGUCACCCCUGGGGCUGUGGUGAGGCUCUGGUUCCAGGAUUCAGGGGCCACAUGCCCUGGGCACCGCAGGUGUGUGCAGAGGGUCCACGCCAGCGAGGAGGUGGGCAGCCUAGACCAGCUCCUAGAACUGCCCCGGAGGCCACCCUGGCUGCAGGAGGCCAGUGGCUGAGCACAGCCUCUUCCAACCUCUCUGAAGGGACACAGCAGAGCUGGGCGUCAGGGACACGACCCUGCCCAGGGCCGUCCCCAUUGCUAUCCCUUAAUGCCGAGGGGAGCAGGUGGCCAGGAGUGCACGCCUCGCUGCACGGUGCAGGUUUCAGGGCUGGAACGGCCCCAGCUGCUGGCCUGGGGUCCUGGGUCUCUGUCAUGGUGGUGUCUCUUCCCUGUCCCAGGUCCCCACAGGACCCUCAAGUCGGCCCUUCGUCUUCUAGCCACCUGGAGAGCCCAGUCUCCCUGGCUGCCUCUCCUAGAGAAUGGGGUGCAGGCUGUGGGUGCGGCCCACUGUGUCUUGGGCGUGACGUGGGGGUCUUCCCCACCAGGCCUCAGAGACCCGGUUAGCCUGGGACUCCUGGCGGAGGAGAGGACAGGCUGGGGCUCUAAGUGGGCGAGGUGGUCAGCCAGGCCUGGGAUGGGCUAUCUCCCCGGGUGGGCCAUGGAGCCACAGAACAGGACGCAGGCUGGCUGGCGGGCCAGAGGCAGAGUGGUGGGGAGUCCCCUGGGAGGCCAGGAGGAGUGAACUGCUCACAGAGAGUCCGGCCACAAGGAGGGCGGGCAGGGACAGGGAGGGCCCACGGGCCACGUGCUCAUUUCCACUUCUUAGCAGAGCAUGGCUCUGAUCCCCUUUCCCGACUGGAUUCCCUGCUGCAGGGAGCACGGAGCCAGCCAUUGUCAGGGCCUGGUGCAGAAAGCUGCAGCGGGCCACACCUGUCUCCCGAGGGCUGGUACUUCCCGGGUCAGCUGGCCACGGUAGUCCUGGACAGCCCGGCCUCUGGGCAGUUAUGGACGCCCUUGGUAGCCUGUGAAGGGCCUUUCUGACACAGAGGGGCAGGUGUGGACCUUGGGAGCUCUAUGUCCUGGUCUGGGGACAGACGGCCAGCCAGCUAGCUUCAGCCCCCUGGGAUGGCAUCUCUGGGCCUCUCUUGGGCCGGUGGGCCCCAGCCCUGAGCUCCAGGCACUCUGCCUCUUCCCACCUCCAGCUCCUGAAGAGGCCACCCUGGACAGGCCUCUGGCGUUCCCUGGUUUCAGUGUCCAGGUGCCCGUGGUGCUGCAGAGAGCCCCUGCUCCCAUUCCCAGCUCCCGUGCCACCCGUGGAGGGCAGCAGUGGGUCUGGCCUCAGGGGUCCCAGGCCUGGUUUUGGGUGGCUGCCUCUGCAGGAGGCCACCUGUCUCUCCCACGAGGCGAGGCCUGAGUCCUGAGCCGGGAGGACGCCCCGCUGAGCAGGGGGUGAGCGGGGCCUGGUGCCGAGACAGCCACCGUGGUCGGUGGACACCGCUUGUCCCAGAAUGGAGAGGAAGCAGGCCAUUCCCUGAGUCCUGAAAAAGGGCAGGCACCUGUCCCCUCUGAGUCUGCAGUGUCACCAGCCCAGGGGAGAAGCUUCCAGGAAGCAGGAAGGUGACAGUCAGCCUGAGAACAGAUUGAGGUGUGACGGGUGACAGCCAGAGAUGGCCCAGGAGGUGGGUCAAGACGCCCUGGUCAGCCACGUCCACAGACACCACGGCUGGAAUAAGACACCGUGGUCAGUGACCCUCCCCACAGAGAGAAGGGAAGGGUGGCUGAGGGUGACAUGGACGAGAGCAGCACCGUGAGCUUCCUCCCAGAAAGGACAGCAGGAGUCCCGCUGAACCGAGCUUCAGCCCGGGGGGCCUCCGUGUGACCAGAGGUCCAGAGGUGGCCUCUCGUAUUGGUUAGCUCUUGCUGCGUAACAAACCCUCCCCACACUGGACUCGAACAGCCGGUUCUGAUAUUGCUCCUGAGCUUGUGAGCGGACGGGGCAGUUUGCCACUGUCCAGCUGCCCAGUAGGGACCAGUGGAUGAGCUGGGCCUCUUCUUUCCCAAACUGAUGUAGGAUGAGCUGGGCCUCAUGGUGGCUGUUGGUGUUGGUGGCCGGUUGGUCCUGGAGCUCAGAGGGGCACGGGAGUGAGUAAGCUGUGCGUGUCUCACCCUCCAGCAGGCCGGCCCAAGAGCACCAGGCAGGCCCGGCCCUGCUCGCGGGUGUGCUCCAGCCUCUGCAUUUGCUACCAGCCUUGGCCAAAGCAAGCACAUGGCUCAGGUUCUAGGGGAGUGGAAAAGCAGACUCAGUCCCUUGAGUGGGAGGACUCUAAAUCCAUGAUGCAGCGAUGGGAAGAGUGGCAGCCAUUUCCGAGACCUGCCACAUGGGCUUCAGGCUGGGUUGGACCCAGGAGCUGCUCCCCUCUUGACUCUGCUUCUUUCUUUGUCAGAUCCACUUGCAGCCAAGGCAGAGUGAGCGGUCACCAGGGACUCUGGCCUCCUUCAGGUCCAGCGGGAUGAAAUUCCCUCUCUUCCCCAUGGUUCUGAAGGAAGCCCCCAGAUCGCCCCUCCUUGACUGGUUGGACAGUGUGCCCAUCUCUGGGCAGACUCUGCCCUGGAGGCUCGUGAUGCCGUAAUGGCCUCCUCAGGGCACAGAGGGGGGAGUGGGCUCCACACGCCUCGUGGACAGAGCAGGAGCAGGAGCGGUGGCCUUGGAAGCCAGGUGCCACACAGGAAGCUGAGGAUGCUGGGUAGACAGGGAACCCGGCCGGCAGGCCAGGGCCUUCUGUUUACGCCCUCUUUUUUUUUUUUUUUGUACUGGGAAUCGAACCCAGAGGUGCUUAACCCCCGGGCCACACGCCAGCCCUUUCUUAUAUUUUACUUAGAGACAGGGUCUCGCUGAGUUGCUCAGGGCCUUGCUGAGUUGCUGAGGCUGGCUUUGAACUUGCGAUCCUCCUACUUCAGCCUCCUGAGCUGCUGGGAUCACAGGCGUGGGCCACCACCCCGGCCCGUUUGCUCCCUCUUGGGAACACCUGCUCGCCGCCAGCCCCGCCUCUCGGGCUCUUUGCCUUCUCACCACGAAGUCCUGGGAGUUCUAGAAGGGGCCGCGUCGCAGUUUGCGGUCGGGUGGGCUUUGUGAAUGUCCCCUCCCAGCCUGGCUUUCCUCCAUUUCUUACGGGGACUUUUCAUCCGGUAAGCAGUUUUGGUGUGGACGAAUCUAACCGGACUUCUAGUCUGUUUUUUAGGUCUUGUCUGAGGCGCUUUCUGCCUGGGUCUCCUUGGAGAAGAUCGUGGGUCUUCCUUGUUCAUCUUGAAUCGAUCUUUGUGGACGGCAUGAGAUGAAGUUCGAGUUCCAUUUCUUCCAAACAGACGCCCGGUGCUUCCUGGGCCUCGCCACUGUGUCCUGCGGCUACAUGAGAGUCACACCGGAGCCUGGCAGCUGGGAGACACUGACUUGUCCUCCGUCCACAGCGCUGCGUUUGACCGUACUCAUGCCCCACUGUGGGGUACCAAGAGGUGGGCCGGGAGGAGUGGCCAGGCGUGGCCUCGGGGUGGGCUACCGGGCUGCUUCGAGGGCCUCAUACUCCCUGGCCUCCUCGGGCUCAGCCAGCAGGGCCGGGGCCAGAGCAGCCCCUUGACCUGGGACCGAGCAUAAGUGGACUGGGUCCUUUUGAUCCAAUGUGUCCAGUCUGCGGAGCCGCGUGGCCGGCAAACACACAACCCUCCCCCACAAACUCUCCCAGUCUUGCCCAGCUGCCCCGGGCAAGGAGGCAAGCUGCCUGGGCCCCAGACCACACAGUGGGCGUCACGGCUCCACACGGCACGGCGGAUGCUUUAGAGACAUUCCAGAGUCACACCCACCUGCUCUGAAAGUCCUCCGUGGCUUUGCCAGGUGCAGCGGCCUGUAAUCCCAGCAUCUUGGGAGACUGAGGCAGGAGGAUUACAAGUUUGAGGUCAGCCUCUGCAACUUAGUGAAACCCUAUUUCAAAAUAAAAAAGGGGCCAGGGAUGAAGCUCAGUAUCAGAGACAGGGUCUCGCUGAGUUGCUCAGGGCCUUGCUGAUUUGCUGAGGCUGGCUUUGAACUUGCGAUCCUCCUACUUCAGCCUCCUGAGCUGCUGGGAUCACAGGCGUGGGCCACCACCCCGGCCCGUUUGCUCCCUCUUGGGAACACCUGCUCGCCGCCAGCCCCGCCUCUCGGGGUUCACCCCCAGGACUGCAAAGAAAGCCGUCUGUGGCUCCGACCCACUCAGUCCUCCACCCCCCAGCCUCCACCCCCCAGCCUCCACUCCCCAGCCUCCUCAGCAGUAGCCCAGAGGCCAGGAAGCAAAACUAGCCAGCCAUGUCCCCCUGGGCUCCCUAGUGUGGGCACAGAUGUCAAGGUCCCAGAUGAAGACAACCGCCACAGUGUGCCACAUCCCGUAAGGAGGCUGGGCCCCUAGGAAGGGAGGAGAAGAAGGAGGAUGCAGUGAACCUUCUCCCUGCCCUCGGCUGGUCCUGGACCACCCACUCACCACCUCUGCCUCAUGUCGGGGGCGGGGGCACUGCAAUGCCCCCACAGAGCGACCCCUCCCUCUGUCCCAAGCCUGGCUUGGCUCAGCACCUCCUGGGGGGCCUCUGCUUUCCACUGCAUGGACAGUCAGGGCAACCCAAUGCCAUCCAGCGGAACCGCCCGGCCCCGGCCCUGGUCACCAGAGGUGGGGACACAGGGGCCCUGCAGCGGCCCUUCAUUCCCGAUGCUGGGCCCAGGCAUCUGGGGGUGUAUGGGCAGAGCCAACCUCACCGACCCCUUCCAGCUCCGGUAGAGCCAGGGCAGAGGGUGGAGAGCAAUGUCCCUGAGCCCUCAGCCAAGGCGUGGAACCCCCGUGACACGCCCUGGCCACCCAAGCACAUAGGCUGCCUCCAGUGAUGGCCACUGAGUCCCGAGGCACUGUGCCACCUUGGGAGUGUCAGCUGGGUCCCCAGCUGGGGAGGACUUGGCUGUCCAGGGCAGGUGCAGAUGUCAGGGGUCAGCCUGGAGGCGCUGGUCUUGCUAGAGCAGCUACGUUGGUAGAAAGUUCUGCACUCUGUGUCACUCAGCAAAGCCACCAGCCUCCCUCUUCCUGGAUCCUGGAAGGCAUCCUUUGCCUGAUCUGCCCCGUGGAGCCUGGUGGGGGCCGGUGCCCUGGCCGGAGCACAGUGUGGCCCAGCGUUGAGUGGAACUGAGAGUCACCGCAGGCGCUGUCUCAGACCCAAGGGCCCUGGCGGGCAAUCUGGGACAGAGCCGGCCCCACCCCACCUAUUUUGAGAAAUGGGGACAUCAAAAAUAGAAAGGCCCUAAUUCCACAGCCUGAAGCUCUUGUUUAGAGAGCGGCAAUGAGCUAAGACAAUGAGUCCCAAUCGCGCAUCGUGGUCACAAUGGGUUUUUCUUUUUUUAAGUGCUUCAAACUCUUUGAGGGGACAAAAAUUGGCUAAAUUGUCUUUAAAGCUGGAACAGACAUUGCCAGCCUUGGGGUACAGGGAAGGAGUGGACUUCCGGGGGACCGCCCUGCUGACGAGAGGACUUAUGUUUGAUCAAUUGAUUACAUUCCCAACCAGGGGGAGCAGGACGGUUCCAGAACCACAGCUGCUCUACAGCUUGGGUGCUCCUGAGUUGCUCUUCUGACCUCGCUGGCUCCCGGAAGCUGGGAUUUAGCCAAGGCUAAAGGUGGCAGAGCUGACCCUGGCCAGAGAGGGCCGUCCGCCGGAUCUGCAGGUCGAGGGAAGGAGAAGCCGCCUUUUCCUGUUCUUUCCGCCCUGAUGUUGAAGAGCAGCAUCAGGGUGGAGCGUGGCUCUGGCCUUGCACACCGUGUGCCGAGGAGGACACCAGUCCUCCUCCCUGUCCUCCUCCCGUCCUCCUCCCUGUCCUCCUCCCUGUCCUCCUCGUCAGACACUGAUCAGACGUGGGGUCGGUGAGGAGCUGAGACCGAGGUGGGGGCACUCUGGGCACAGCAGAGGAGGAGCGGGGAGGCAGGGGAGGAGCCUCCAUGGCCAGGGGACCUAGGAUGACCGUGGGCAGGGACGGGAUGGCCACCAAAGCAGGCAGAGCUACGUGGCAAAGGCCGAGAUGGAAGGGCGCGUGGCGAGGAGGCAGCCGUGGCUGUAGAACCGUGAGGCUCCUGAAGACACACGGGCCAGCGCCAAGCUCGGCCUCUGGACUUAAAGUUUCCCGGAGUGAAACGCAGCAGGGCAGGGGUGAGGUGGACGGAGAACUGCUGCUGCAGAGUCCCCGCCCUCUAUGGGGACCCCCCACCAGAGACGCCCCCUGCCCGGUCCACAGCCGGGUUCUCAUCCGAAAAUGCCCAGAGCCAGACACGCAGGAGCCCGAGGAGAGCCAAGCCAAGGGAGAAGAGCCAGGCUCUCUGGGUGGCGCCACCCUGGUGGGGUGCGGGAGGCUGGGCAGGAGUGGCCUCCGGAAGGUUCAAUGAGAAAACGAGUCAGCUUUUGUGAAAGAGAGCCGGCUGUCAAUCCCCAGGGACAGUAGUAUAAGGCGGCUGUCAAUCCCCGGGGACAGUAGUUUUAGGAAAGGGAAACCCUUGGUCACACUUGCCCCUGAAGUUCCCCAAUACAAACCCUGAACAGAGGGUGGUGCGCUGUGCUUGGGGUGCCCCUGCUCUGAGGGCUGGAGGAGAUGCUGGUCUAAUGAGAGGUGGAGACUGAGCACCGAGGAUGUCACCUGAAACCCACGACCCGAGAGAUCACAAUAGAAGCCAUGUGUCCCUUCAGAAGACAGACGGGGUCAACACUCAGGGACUGGGAAGGACUGAAGAGCUGGAAUGGGGGUGGGGGGUGCCUGCGGUUCAGCCUGGCGGGUCCCUGGCGCUAUGCGGCACGGGCAGACACACACCUGGGCCAGUCCUGCCUCGAAAGGAGACCAGGGCCAGCCUGUCCCCACAGGGGAGUGUGACGAGUGGACUGGGUGAGGCACGUGCAGGACCAUCUCUGGAGGGCUCUCAUGGCCUCAGCAUCCGGGGAACAUGCCACUGUAAAGUCCCCAUUUUUCCUUUCAGCUUUCAAAGGAAACCAGCAGUUGCAUGGGCCAGGGGCUGCU